This 252-nucleotide ribosomal RNA is filed under the name uncultured bacterium. Its description in RNAcentral is "partial 16S ribosomal RNA". It matches the Rfam family "Bacterial small subunit ribosomal RNA", at positions 524 to 776 of the family's 1533-position model. The record is from RNAcentral.
UACGUAGGUGGCAAGCGUUGUCCGGAAUUACUGGGUGUAAAGGGAGCGUAGGCGGGUGUUUAAGUUGAAUGUUUAAACUAUCGGCUCAACCGGUAGUCGCGUUCAAAACUGAGCAUCUUGAGUGAAGUAGAGGCAGGCGGUAUUCCUAGUGUAGCGGUGAAAUGCGUAGAUAUUAGGAGGAACACCAGUGGCGAAGGCGGCCUGCUGGGCUUUUACUGACGCUGAGGCUCGAAAGCAUGGGGAGCAAACAGG